RNAcentral lists this ribosomal RNA (467 nucleotides) under uncultured bacterium. Its description in RNAcentral is "partial 16S ribosomal RNA". It matches the Rfam family "Bacterial small subunit ribosomal RNA", at positions 28 to 507 of the family's 1533-position model. The record is from RNAcentral.
GACGAACGCUGGCGGCGUGCUUAACACAUGCAAGUCGAACGGAAAGGCUCCAGCUUGCUGGAGUACUCGAGUGGCGAACGGGUGAGUAACACGUGGGUAAUCUGCCCUGCACUCUGGGAUAAGCCUGGGAAACUGGGUCUAAUACUGGAUAUGACCUUUCUCCUUAUGGGGUUUGGUGGAAAGUUUUUCGGUGUAGGAUGAGCCCGCGGCCUAUCAGCUUGUUGGUGGGGUGAUGGCCUACCAAGGCGACGACGGGUAGCCGGCCUGAGAGGGUGAUCGGCCACAUUGGGACUGAGAUACGGCCCAGACUCCUACGGGAGGCAGCAGUGGGGAAUAUUGCACAAUGGGCGGAAGCCUGAUGCAGCGACGCCGCGUGAGGGACGACGGCCUUCGGGUUGUAAACCUCUUUCAGCAGGGACGAAGCGUAAGUGACGGUACCUGCAGAAGAAGCACCGGCUAACUACGUG